UACGAAGGGGGCUAGCGUUGCUCGGAAUGACUGGGCGUAAAGGCGCGUAGGCGGAUGGCACAGUCAGAUGUGAAAUUCCUGGGCUUAACCUGGGGGCUGCAUUUGAUACGUGUGGGCUUGAGUGCGGAAGAGGGUCGUGGAAUUCCCAGUGUAGAGGUGAAAUUCGUAGAUAUUGGGAAGAACACCGGUGGCGAAGGCGGCGACCUGGUCCGUGACUGACGCUGAGGCGCGAAAGCGUGGGGAGCAAACAGG
This 252-nucleotide ribosomal RNA is filed under the name uncultured bacterium. Its description in RNAcentral is "partial 16S ribosomal RNA". It matches the Rfam family "Bacterial small subunit ribosomal RNA", at positions 524 to 776 of the family's 1533-position model. The record is from RNAcentral.